AAACAAGGAAAACUAAAAGACACCAACACAUAAAUGUUCAGCAACUAGUAUGAAAGAGAAUAAUUAAGAUCAAGGGACAUGACCAGAAGUACUUCACAUCACAAGCAUAUAUAUAUUCACACGUACAUAGCUAACACAGGGACUAAGAAUUAAAGAUGUUCAAACAACUCACUUGACAGAGAGCACAAACAACACAAAUUGAUCACACUAGGUAAUCAGAAUAUCAUGGGAAACUAACUGACAGAAAAUUCACAUAUAUUGAAAUAGUAAAACUGAUUACCAAUUAUCAAGUCUUCAUUCUAAAUGUUCACAGAAAUUACACACACACACACACAUGUACACGCACAAAAAUUGUUCUAGUUCUUGCAAAUCAAUAGAAUACAUCCAGACAAGGACAAGUCUGAAUUUCACAGGAACCCACUCACAGAUAAUACAUAGAAAUUUCAGAGAGGGAGAGAGAACAGUAGCAAGUGUUGGAGAAGGAGAAAGUGAUUCAGAAGAAGCAGGGAAGCAGCGAGGUAGGCGAAGAAGCAGCAGCAGCAGAGGUACAGAGAGAAGGAGCAGCAAGAGAAGUUGGGGAGCGGCAGCAGGAAGUGAAGGGGAAGGAGCAGCAGGGGGACAUUGGGAGGAGGAGAGGUUCAGAGAAUAGCUUCGGCAAGGAAGAGCAGUAGGAGGCGCAGGAGAUGAAGAGCAGCAACAACUUUAGGGGAAGGAGAGUAGGAGAAGUAGAGAGAGGAGCAGCAGCAGGGGCGUGGGAGAAAGCAGCAGUAUGGUGGCGCUAGGGAGAGAGGAGCAGCAGCAGGACCAUGGAGGAGAGGUAGCAGCGUGGGUGUGAGGUGUUGGUCGCGCGGCGGAUCAGACAGGCCAUCUGGUGGCUUGCGCGAUCUAGCGCUGGUGAGGGUGGAUGGAUGGCGCAGUGAAGAUGGAGGCGCUGUAGUGUUCGGUGGUGAGGUGGUGGAGUUGGUGGCGCUGCUGGAUGGAUGGGUCGCGGAGGCGCACAACCACACCGGCCUGGCCGUGGCGGCGGCCGGAGGUGGAGAAGGAGGGAUGAGGAGAGAGGGAUGUGUAACCAGGCCCCCAGGGGAUCGAAGGAGAUGGCUAGGGAUUUGACCCCUCUCGAUCAGAUCUGCCACUUUGCAAUUUUGCCCUCCUACUUCCCUUCUUUCUUCCCAAGUUGGUCCUCCCAUCUUGAGCUUGCCCCCUUGAAGCUUUAAUCUGCUAUCAACUCAGGACCCUCCUUUCUUUUCGGUUGAUAGUGCCUUUGUGCACUUUUCUGCAAAGGAAACAAGUAACAAGUAAAUGAUCCUUUUACACGAUUUUCGUUCAAAUAUGCAACAGUUCAUACCAAAAAUUGAUGGUCAGAUCACAGUAAAUGCUAAAUUUGUGUGCCAAAUUAUGAAUAGGAAAUGCUCUUAUCAAGUUCCCCCAUACUUAAAUCUUUGCUUGUCCUCAAGCAAAGGAAUAUGACAAGAACAGGAUAGUGAAUAGUGAGCUGACUUGAGAAUGUCCAAGUGAAGUAGAUCUCCAAACAAUGCAUGCUUUGGACUUGGCUAGUGAAAAUUAAUGGUUAAGAGUGCUACAUAUCAAUAGGACACUAUUAAACUCGGCAAUUUUAAACUUUUGCAAUGAUAAAUGAAGAUUAGCAAGUUCAAAUGCUGACUGUGCCAAAAGGUUCCUAAAGAGAGCAUGAUCCUGAGAACAAAAGGAACUUGAAUUAAAUCACUUAUUUGCAGAAAUAUAACAAUGUGGUUGAACCACUUAUUAAAUUUGAAGGAAGUAAUGAUAAUAUUUUAUCAGUCUCACCAAAGGAACAUACCACCGAUCCCGAGAACAUGGUAUACACCUGGCUCGACCAAUUAUUAGUUUUUUAAGUUUGUUUGUCUCCCCAAAGGAACAUACCACCGAUCCCGAGAACAUGGUAUACACCUGGUUCGACAAUUACAUUAUUAUUAUUAUUAAUUACUGCCCAAGCUAACCCGAUUUCACAUGCCACCGAUCCCGGGAACAUGACAUGCUACUGUAGGUAGCCAGACUUAUUUAUACAUUAUUACUUAUCUUAAAUGAACAACGCAUAAGAACAAAAACAGGAAUCAUCACUUCUCCAUGUCUGGUUCACAUGCUACCGAUCCAGGGAACAUAGCAUGCUAAUCCAUAGUGGUUAGGUAAUUGCUCUCAAUGGGAUGACACUUGGCACAAAUUCAGCAUCUAAACGUGGUGAUCUAGGUGUAUCGAGGUAAAAGCAGAAAAUGAUUAAGUUUUCUAGUGUACUAGGGAUUUGAGCACUCAAAACUAAUAGCUUUCACCAAUUUCAGCAAAGCAAGCAUUGUAUAGAUCACUAGUUUACAAGGCAUUCAACACUCAGUUCACAUAUUCACAUCAAUCACCCUAUGUCGAAGGUAAGAUUCAGUGGGACGGUAUUUAAGAAAUGACUCAAGCAACCCAAAUAACAUUUGAUUUCAGCAUGUAUCAAUGGAUGAUAUACUCGGAGUGGGUCAUGAAACAGCUCACCGGGCUUUGAUGAUGUAGCACUCUCUCGAUCACCUCACCAACUGCAGCGCCUCUCCUUUUGCUUCUCUAUCCUCAUGCCUGCUCCAGCUUCUCCCUUCCUCGUGUGUGCCCCCUUGCUUCUCCUCAUCCCCAUGCUUUGAGUCCACCAGGGUCCCAAGGAAUGUCACCUCAAACCUGGUCAGCAUGUAAUGGAUCGUGCACAAGCAAAAACCUAAAAGCACUCUCAACAAAAGAGACAAUGCAAGUGGUAGGGAUAAUACCCUCCAAGUCAUCAAUCGAAUAUCCAAUUACAUAAGCAUAGCUAUAAAGCACAUGUUUAGGAUGAUAGAAAUCAGCAAGGUCGACACUAACAUGAGGAUGAAAUUUAUCAUUAAGCUCAAGACUAGCAUGGGAAUAGUAAGUGUCAUCAUCAGGAAUGAGAGCAAUGCCACCAACAAUGUAUGUAUGAUCAUGUCCAAGCAAAUAAUUUUUCAAGUCUAGCUUAAUUGAUGGUAUAACACAAUGGAAAGUACCAGCAAAGAUCUCAUAAGGAAGCAUGUCAUCAAGAGGAUUGGAUAAACCUGCUAAAUCACGCUCCUGUAUGACGAUGGGCAAAUGCGUCUCAGGUUCUUCAUCUUCAUCUACAUCAUCUUCUUGUACUUCUUCAGGAGUAGUAGAUGACGAGUCUUCAACUUGAUCACUUUGUUGUUCGAGCUCUGGAUCAUCUUGUGCCUUGGCUUCGAGUACAUCUUCAAUCUGAGGUAUCUCUUCCUCUGGGCUCUCGCUAUCUUGCUCAGCUAAAUGUGACGGUGUUGGAACCUCACAUGUAUGACUAGAAAUCUCAGCAGCACUCAGCUCAAGGAGAGAUGAGAUAGUACUACCAGUGUUGAUGUUCUUCUCAAUCUUCCUUACUUCAUCCACUAGCUCUUUUCCACUCUUGAUAUUCUUCAUUUCAUCUAGUAUCAUCGGCCUAAUUGGAUCAUCCUCAACACUCCAAGUGAACUUGAGACUAAGCAAUGUGAGCUUGUCUAUAUCAUCAAAUUCAUCUUUUGGGGCACUUGCACAUGAGAUUGCUUAGCAGUUGCUGGAGUUGUUGGUUGACCAAAUGGAGGACCAUUUAACUCCAUUGGCAACAUCUCCUGGUGUUGAGGUAUAUGAGUAGGAGCUAAAUAAAUCUGUUGUGGAGCAUAUGUUGGGGAACGUUACAGAAAAUUAAAAAAAAAUUCUACGGUUUCACCAAGAUCCAUCUAUGAGUUAAUCUAAGCAAUGAGUCAUGAGAGAAAGAUUGCAUCUACAUACCACUUGUAGAUCGCGUACGGAAGCGUUCGAGGGAACGGUGAUGAUGGAGUCGUACUCGUCGUGAUUCAGAUCACCGAUGACCAAGUGCUGAACGGACAGCACCUCCGCGUUCAACACACGUACGGUACAGACAACGUCUCCUCCUUCUUGAUCCAGCAAGGGAGAAGGAGAGGUUGAGGAAGAAGGCUCCAGCAGCAGCACGACGGCUUGAUGAUGGUGGAGAGGCAGUACUCCGACAGGGCUUCGCCAAGCACUCAACGGAGGAGGAGAGGUGUUGGGGAGGGGAGGGGCUGCGCCUUGGAUCAGGUGUUCAGCCCUCCCAUCGCCCCUCUAUUUAUAGGGGAAGGGGGAAGGGGGCCGGCCCCCUCUAGAUGAGAUCUAGAGGGGGGGCGGCAGCCAAGGAGGGGGCUUGCCCCCCAAGCAAGGCGGUGCGCCCCCUUAGGGUUCCCCCUCAACCCUAGGCGCAUGGGCCCAAGGGGGGGGGGCGCCCAGCCCUCCAGGGGCUGGUGCCCUGCCCCACGUGGCCCAUGUGGCCCACCAAGAGGGGUGGCCCCUCCCGGUGGACCCCCGGAACCCCUCCGGUGGCCCCGGUACAAUACCGAUAUGCCCCCGAAACUUUCCGGUGUCCGCAUGACAACUUCCCAUAUAUAAAUCUUUACCUCCAGACCCUUCCGGAACUCCUUGUGACGUCCGGGAUCUAAUCCGGGACUCCGAACAACAUUCGGUAAUCACAUACAAGUCUUCCUAAUAACCCUAGCGUCACCGAACCUUAAGUGUGUAGACCCUACGAGUUCGGGAGACACGCAAACAUGACCGAGACGGCUCUCAGGUCAAUAACCAACAGCGGGAUCUGGAUACCCAUGUUGGCUCCCACAUGCUCCUCGAUGAUGUCAUCGGAUGAACCACGAUGUCGAGGAUUCAAGCAACCCCGUAUACUAUUCCCUUUGUCAAUCGGUACGUUACAAGCCCGAGACUCGAUCGUCGGUAUCCCAAUACCUCGUUCAGUCUCAUUACCGGCAAGUCACUUUACUCGUACCGUAAUGCAUGAUCCCGUGACCAAACACUUGGUCACUUUGAGCUCAUUAUGAUGAUGCAUUACCGAGUGGGCCCAGAGAUACCUCUCCGUCAUACGGAGUGACAAAUCCUAGUCUCGAUCCGUGUCAACCCAACAGACACUUUCGGAGAUACCUGUAGUGCACCUUUAUAGUCACCCAGUUACGUUGUGACGUUUGGUACACCCAAAGCAAUCCUAUGGUAUCCGGGAGUUACACGAUCUCAUGGUCUAAGGAAGAGAUACUUGACAUUGGAAAAGCUCUAGCAAAACGAACUACACGAUCUUGUGCUAUGCUUAGGAUUGGGUCUUGUCCAUCACAUCAUUCUCCUAAUGAUGUGAUCCCGUUGUCAACGACAUCUAAUGUCCAUAGUCAGGAAACCAUGACUAUCUGUUGACGAACGAGCUAGUCAACUAGAGGCUUACUAGGGACGUAUUGUGGUCUAUGUAUUCACACGUGUAUUACGAUUUCCGGAUAAUACAAUUAUAGCAUGAAUAAAAGACAAUUAUCAUGAACAAGGAAAUAUAAUAAUAAUCCAUUUAUUAUUGCCUCUAGGGCAUAUUUCCAACAACAUAGUUGUGGUUCUCCUCUUCAUACCUAAAUCCCUGCAUAUGAUUACUAGAAGCAAGCGGUGAGAUCUCAGGGUUGUUGCUCCUAUAUGACAUAUUCGGGUUUUCAGGCCACCCAUGUGAGUAAUUGUUUUGGUAUGAGCUAUGCUCUUGAGCGAAGCUCAUGCCAAAACAAUCUGGGGUGUGAGAGUAACCACGCUGACAUUCAGCGGGCAAAUGGCCUUGAAAUCCACAAAUAUGGCAAGUAGGAGCAACAUAAGGAUGGCCUCUAGAACAAGGAUCAUAAGAGCUAGGCCUAUCCUCAAAAACUACUUCUCACUGCUGAGCUAAAUCAUUUAAUUGAUGGGAAAACUUACUUAUCAGUUCUUGAAUACUUUCCGUGUUGUUUGUAGUGUUGCUCGCAUAAGCAUGAUGAUCUGAAUAGUAAGCCAUAUCCGAGAAGAUGGUUCUAACCUGCAAAAAGGAAAAGAAAACAAACAAACAAAAAUACUAACUAGAACAGGGGUUAGUGGUUAGAAAUAUAUCACAAAUAUAUGGCACAAACUAGAAAAGGAAGAAAAACCUAGUCUAUAGCCUAACACGGUUACUCGACGCUAGUCCCCGGCAACGGCACCAAAAUGAUCAAUUGUAAGUGUAGUGGGGUUUUUACGCCCAAACUACGAGUGUCGUGUUCUCCACGGGGACUAGGCGACGACAGUCGUGCUCGGCUAAAGCUAGAUCAGACAAAAAGGUUUUUGAUAUUGCAAGAAAAACAAAAGUAAAGCAAGUUUGUUCGAGAAAAUCAUUGACAAAUAAAAUGUACUCAAUAUAUUUUUGGUGUUUUAUUUUUUUUACUUUGGGAACUAAAAUACCAGCACAGGCAGACAUGAGAAACAAGGAAAACUACAAGACACCAACACAUAAAUGUUCAACAACUAGUAUGAAAGAGAAUAAUUAAGAUCAAGGGACAUGACCAGAAGUACUUCACAUCACAAGCAUAUAUAUAUUCACACGUACAUAGCUAACACAGGGACUAAGAAUUAAAGAUGUUCAAACAACUCACUUGACAGAGAGCACAAACAACACAAAUUGAUCACAAUAGGUAAUCAGAAUAUCAUGGGAAACUAACUGACAGAAAAUUCACAUAUAUUGAAAUAGUAAAACAGAUUACCAAUUAUCAAGUCUUCAUUCUAAAUGUUCACAUAAAUUUCACACACACACACACACAUGUACACGCACAAAAAUUGUUCUAGUUCUUGCAAAUCAACAGAAUACAUCCAGACAAGGACAAGUCCGAAUUUCACAGGAACCCACUCACAUCUAAUACAUAGAAAUUUCAGAGAGGGAGAGAGAACAGUAGCAAGUGUUGGAGAAGGAGAAAGUGAUUCAGAAGAAGCAGGGAAGCAGCAAGGUAGGUGAAGAAGCAGCAGCAGUAGAGGUACAGAGAGAAGGAGCAGCAAGAGAAGUUGGGGAGCGGAAGCAGGAUGUAAAGGGAAGGAGCAGCAGGGGG
RNAcentral lists this long non-coding RNA (6896 nucleotides) under Triticum aestivum (bread wheat). RNAcentral describes it as "long non-coding RNA (TAES_LNC004158)". The record is from RNAcentral. Lineage: Eukaryota; Viridiplantae; Streptophyta; Magnoliopsida; Poales; Poaceae.